This 454-nucleotide ribosomal RNA is filed under the name uncultured Oomycota. Its description in RNAcentral is "LSU rRNA". It matches the Rfam family "Eukaryotic large subunit ribosomal RNA", at positions 326 to 629 of the family's 3401-position model. Lineage: Eukaryota; Oomycota. The record is from RNAcentral.
GUGCGAGACCGAUAGCGAACAAGUACCGUGAGGAAAAGAUGAAAAGAACUUUGAAAAGAGAGUUAAAGAGUACCUGAAACUGCUGAAAGGGAACCGAAUCAUAUCCAGUGUCUAUAAUCCAUGGCAUAUUUCAUUGGCGAGUGAGUGCGUGCAGCGUUUUGGAAGUGGUUUUCCGCUCCUGUCGUUGUUGUGCAUUUGCUUGCUGGUGCCCUGUGCUGUGGUGGGACGUCAGAGUCAGUUUGUGUGUCGCGGGAAAUGGUUAUUGGGGAGGUAGGUCGCUUCGGUGGCUAUUAUAUCCUGGUAACUAGUCGUCGUGGCUGAGACUGAGGUGCCUACAAUGUGCUUUCGAGUGUGCGGGAUUCUCGUGUGGCUGUUUGCUUUGAUAGCUUGCUAUGUUGGUGAAUAAGUCGUGCGAUUGAGACUUGUAUUAACUUGUUGCUGUUCGGGACUUUGA